AACGGAGUAACUUAUGGUUAUGACUGAGUCGACGCCCUUCCCUAGUAUCCUUCCGCCGAACGUGACGUCACACACCAAAACAAAGUAGUCCCAGAACCUUUUCUCAGCUUCUCCUUUAAAGAUUUAAAGGCACAAGAUGCGGCGCUAAAGGACCUUCGUCUUUAUACCGGUAUCGAAAAAAAUAUAUAUAAAAAAUUGAGAAACGCAAACCAGGAACGGAAAGGCGGAAGGAUCCGGCUCCGAGGCUGAGCCAGCACCUCCAGGCAUCCUCAGAGGGAGGAAAAAAUUGGACAGUUGAUCCAGAGCCAGCACUGAACUCAACAACAGAAAUAAGAAAAAUCAACACUGGUCCUCUGUUUGUCUCAUUGUGCCUGUUUUCAGGAACCAAAAGCUUAGGUCUACCUGCCAUGCCCCUAUAUCCAUCUAUUUGCCCAUCCUUCCUUCAAUGUACAUGGGCCAUCGUUUACCCAGGUAACUGGCUCCUUAGCAGCAAGUCCAAGUUACCAGCUCUAGCUCCAGCUCAGCAUAAUUUACCACACUUUGCCUGAUGUACAAGACCCACAAGUCCAACAUUUGUGGACUGAAGAUGAACAAACACAUGUUUGUUCACUGCAGAUGCUCUAUAAUUGGAUCCAUCUUAUAUUACUUCAAGGCUUUCUUACAGUAGAUAUUAUCACUGUAUCAAGAUAGAUCACCCUUAAAGAUGGUCCAGUCCCAAAUGCUUACAACAACCUAGAAUUAAACAUAGGUGACAAAUAACAUAGAGAAGUCAGGAAAAAUUCUUCAUAUCAGUGUUUACAGGGGAAUAUGGAGGCUAAGAUGGAAACCUUCAAGGCUUUGUGAACAAACCAACUGAGAGACAUAGAUGAAAUUUGAAAAAAGAAAUGAUCCUGAAUUCUCUCUCAACAAAACAACUAAAAAGAGAUCAUUGUGUAUUCUGCACAUGAGAUUAAAUGGCUUCUUAGACUUUACAAUAAUAUUUGGCCAAGUGGAAGUCAGAAAGAAAAGAGGGAGGCUGCAUUACAGGUGAAGUGAGUCCGUCACGGAAACCACAGCUGCCUUGAAUUUGUAUGUUCUCAAGGAGGCUGCUAAUAAAAAUCUUUGUUUUCUCUC
Anolis carolinensis (green anole) is the source of this 1113-nucleotide long non-coding RNA. RefSeq lists it as uncharacterized. The transcript is spliced from 2 exons. The record is from RefSeq and is a predicted model, not a curated record. NCBI's taxonomy places the organism in Eukaryota, Metazoa, Chordata, Lepidosauria, Squamata, Anolidae.